AUUGAACGCUGGCGGCAUGCCUAACACAUGCAAGUCGAACGGCAGCACGGCAGUAGCAAUACUGUGGGUGGCGAGUGGCGGACGGGUGAGGAAUACGUCGGAAUCUGCCCAGUCGUGGGGGAUAACUAGCCGAAGGUUAGCUAAUACCGCAUACGACCGAGAGGUGAAAGCGGGGGACCGGCAAGGCCUCGCGCGAUUGGAUGAGCCGACGUCGGAUUAGCUAGUUGGAGGGGUAAAGGCCCACCAAGGCGACGAUCCGUAGCUGGUCUGAGAGGAUGAUCAGCCACACUGGAACUGAGACACGGUCCAGACUCCUACGGGAGGCAGCAGUGGGGAAUAUUGGACAAUGGGCGCAAGCCUGAUCCAGCAAUGCCGCGUGUGUGAAGAAGGCCUUCGGUUGUAAGACACUUUAUCAGGAACGAAAGACGUUGGA
RNAcentral lists this ribosomal RNA (433 nucleotides) under uncultured bacterium. RNAcentral describes it as "bacterial SSU rRNA". It matches the Rfam family "Bacterial small subunit ribosomal RNA", at positions 29 to 459 of the family's 1533-position model. The record is from RNAcentral.